AGUGAACGCUGGCGGUAGGCCUAACACAUGCAAGUCGAACGGCAGCACAGUAAGAGCUUGCUCUUACGGGUGGCGAGUGGCGGACGGGUGAGGAAUACAUCGGAAUCUACUUUUUCGUGGGGGAUAACGUAGGGAAACUUACGCUAAUACCGCAUACGACCUACGGGUGAAAGCAGGGGAUCUUCGGACCUUGCGCGAUCGAAUGAGCCGAUGUCGGAUUAGCUAGUUGGCGGGGUAAAGGCCCACCAAGGCGACGAUCCGUAGCUGGUCUGAGAGGAUGAUCAGCCACACUGGAACUGAGACACGGUCCAGACUCCUACGGGAGGCAGCAGUGGGGAAUAUUGGACAAUAGGCGCAAGCCUGAUCCAGCCAUACCGCGUGGGUGAAGAAGGCCUUCGGGUUGUAAAGCCCUUUUGUUGGGAAAGAAAAGCAGCAGGUUAAUACCCCGCUGUUCUGACGGUACCCAAAGAAUAAGCACCGGCUAACUUCGUG
RNAcentral lists this ribosomal RNA (492 nucleotides) under uncultured bacterium. RNAcentral describes it as "partial 16S ribosomal RNA". It matches the Rfam family "Bacterial small subunit ribosomal RNA", at positions 29 to 507 of the family's 1533-position model. The record is from RNAcentral.